UACGUAGGGCGCAAGCGUUGUCCGGAAUUAUUGGGCGUAAAGAGCUCGUAGGCGGUUUGUCGCGUCUGCUGUGAAAUCCCGAGGCUCAACUUCGGAAUUGCAGUGGGUACGGGCAGACUAGAGUGUGGUAGGGGAGACUGGAAUUUCUGGUGUAGCGGUGGAAUGCGCAGAUAUCAGGAGGAACACCAAUGGCGAAGGCAGGUCUCUGGGCCACAACUGACGCUGAGGAGCGAAAGCAUGGGGAGCGAACAGG
RNAcentral lists this ribosomal RNA (253 nucleotides) under uncultured bacterium. RNAcentral describes it as "partial 16S ribosomal RNA". It matches the Rfam family "Bacterial small subunit ribosomal RNA", at positions 524 to 776 of the family's 1533-position model. The record is from RNAcentral.